This 1281-nucleotide long non-coding RNA is filed under the name Canis lupus familiaris (dog). Its description in RNAcentral is "lncRNA (ENSCAFG00030001186.1)". The record is from RNAcentral. Lineage: Eukaryota; Metazoa; Chordata; Mammalia; Carnivora; Canidae.
AUGCACUGGCCAUGUUACCCGCCCCCUCUCUCCCUAACACACACACACACACACACACACACACACACACAGUCAGUGGACAAACAGGCAGUCUCACAAGUCCCCACGCACCCAAGCGCAGGGCAGCAGCCCCGACCCAAGGGGGGGUCCCACGCCAGAGACGCGUCCUGCACCGCCGCCCCCCCCGCCCCCGGGGGUCACCUCCCCGCCCCCGGGGCCGCCCCCCCCCCCCGCCCCCGGCGGUCACCUCCCGGCCCCCGGGGCCGCCCCCCUCGCCCCCGGGGGCUACCCCCGCCCCCGGGGCCGCCGCCCCGCCGCGCACCCCUCCGGCCCCGCGCGGCCGCCGCAGCCCCCCGCCCCCCGGCCCGCGGGCUCCCGGGUCCGGCCCCGCGCGCCCCCGCACCUACCGCCGCCCGAGGCGAGGGAGCCAGGCGCCCGGCACGGCGGAGCGGCCACCCCCAGCCGCGGAGCCGCGCUAGUGCCGCCGCCGCGCUCCCAGCGCUGCCUGCGCCCGCCCCGCCGCCCCCUCGGGUGCCGGCUCCAGCCCCCGCGCGGGAGGCCGGCGGAUGGGCGGCGGGCGCGGGGCUGCGGCGGCGGGACCCCGGCCCCCGCUCACCUGCGCGCGCCGCGCAUCGUCCUCCUCCCGGGCCGGCGGGGCCGGGCUGCGCGCGCUCCACGCCCCCUGCCCCGGCGGGUGCCCCCGAGGGUGCCCCGGAGGGCGGCCCGGGCGCGGCGGCGGCGCUGCCGGGACCUCGCCCUCGCCCUCGCCCUCGGGGCUGGCCGCGGCCGCCUCCCCUGCGCGAGCGCUGCCCCGGCCCGCGCCGGCUCCUGGGUGACCUUGGGCAAGUUGGGCAACCUCUCGGAGCGCCCCGCGUCCCCUCCGGGAAGACCGCAAAUCCAGGAGCCGGAGGCGCUGGUGGUGGCCGAGCCGGGAGGUCCCACCCCUGCAGAGCUCACUUCCUCCUCGGGCCUCUGGCUCUGCCCGGGGCCGGCCCGCGUGGGAGCGGGGUUCGGGGCCAGCUCCCUGCUCCCUGGGACGGGCGGCGCCCAAGGUUUCCAGAGGCAGCGCUCGGCGGGCCUGACAUCCUGGGGUCCUGCGGGUCCCGGUUAGCCCGCUCUGGCUUCCUGGGCUGCAGGUUCCUUGGUCUCCCAGCUCCGCCCACCGGGGACCUCGAGCGCCGGGUUAGACCCGGGGCCAGCCUCUGCGCUCCCAUCUGUACAAUGGGGACGAGAAAGGCACAGGCUGUGUUGAGCCUUCCCGAGUUCCUGGCUGUCACUUAG